This 71-nucleotide transfer RNA is filed under the name Malenka flexura. RNAcentral describes it as "tRNA-Val". It matches the Rfam family "tRNA". From Rfam's summary of the family: Transfer RNA (tRNA) molecules are approximately 80 nucleotides in length. Their secondary structure includes four short double-helical elements and three loops (D, anti-codon, and T loops). Further hydrogen bonds mediate the characteristic L-shaped molecular structure. tRNAs have two regions of fundamental functional importance: the anti-codon, which is responsible for specific mRNA codon recognition, and the 3' end, to which the tRNAs corresponding amino acid is attached (by aminoacyl-tRNA synthetases). tRNAs cope with the degeneracy of the genetic code in two manners: having more than one tRNA (with a specific anti-codon) for a particular amino acid; and 'wobble' base-pairing, i.e. permitting non-standard base-pairing at the 3rd anti-codon position. The record is from RNAcentral. Lineage: Eukaryota; Metazoa; Arthropoda; Insecta; Plecoptera; Nemouridae.
CAGAAUAGAGCUUGAUUAGUUAAGCGUUUCAUUUACACUGAAAGUAUACUGUGCAAAUCAGUUUAUUCUGA